This 468-nucleotide ribosomal RNA is filed under the name uncultured bacterium. RNAcentral's name for it is "partial 16S ribosomal RNA". It matches the Rfam family "Bacterial small subunit ribosomal RNA", at positions 28 to 507 of the family's 1533-position model. The record is from RNAcentral.
GACGAACGCUGGCGGCGUGCUUAACACAUGCAAGUCGAACGGAAAGGCCCUGCUUUUGUGGGGUGCUCGAGUGGCGAACGGGUGAGUAACACGUGAGUAACCUGCCCUUGACUUUGGGAUAACUUCAGGAAACUGGGGCUAAUACCGGAUAGGAGCUCCUGCUGCAUGGUGGGGGUUGGAAAGUUUCGGCGGUUGGGGAUGGACUCGAGGCUUAUCAGCUUGUUGGUGGGGUAGUGGCUUACCAAGGCUUUGACGGGUAGCCGGCCUGGGAGGGUGACCGGCCACAUUGGGACUGAGAUACGGCCCAGACUCCUACGGGAGGCAGCAGUGGGGAAUAUUGCAAAAUGGGCGGAAGCCUGAUGCAGCAACGCCGCGUGCGGGAAGACGGCCUUCGGGUUGUAAACCGCUUUCGCCUGUGACGAAGCGUGAGUGACGGUAAUGGGUAAAAAAGCACCGGCUAACUACGUG